CUAUGCUUCAUUUAUCCCGAUCUUCCUCCAACUUCUUAAUUUAACAAGCAACGAACCUUGUCGGAGUCGCUCCAACGACUCUUCAACCAUGGCGUUAACAAAAAAGGUCCAGAGAACUCUGAGAGAAUGAAAGUAAUAGUAAGCUUCUACACUUUCCAUUUCUUCUUCGUUAAACUUUUUCUUCUUCUUCUUCUUCGUCCUACUCCAUCCCUUCUUUCUCUUCUGCGAACUUCUUGUUAUGUCCUUCUUCAGUGUUGUUUCUAUGUUCUUUGUUUGUUGUAUGCUCGAGUAAUAGAGUGAUAGAUCGAGACAAAAGGCGAGAGGUUGAUUUAUAGAAGCUCUACCGGAGCAACUCCGGUGGCUCUUGUUUGGUGAAGAAAGAGACAUUGAUGCAAUUUUAUGAUUGUUGAUGCAAUUGAUUGAAUAUGCGUGAUGCAGUGGUUGUUGUCGUUGUCUCGAGAAGCAAGUUGAUGGAAUAGCAUUGUUGCAAAAGUAGAUCGAAGUUGUUGAAGAAUUGCGAAGAAGUGUGAUGAUGAAGAUUGAAGAGGUUGUGGAUUCGCGUUGAAUGUGCAAAAACUGACGCGUGAAGUUUUGUUCAGAGGUCGAUGAUGAUUGAGGAGAGUGAAGCCGUUCGAAGAGUAUGAUGCAGUUCAGAGAGAACUCAAAAUUUUUGUGAAGUUUCUGUGGUGAUUCUCCGGAUUUUGUGUGAUUCUUCAAGGUGAAGCAUGACGAGGAUGCAUAUGAGAGAAUAAGAGAUUGUUUGGAGUGUUUUUUCUGUGGAAAUGAAGAAUGAAAAAAUUCUGGUUUUAUUAUGGCUGAAGCAUAGAGUCGCAACAGGCCUAUUGCAGAUGAUUGAAACAUGUUGAAUGGUUGUUUUGAUGGCGUGUGAUUUGCUAAUAGCUCAUGAUUACGAAAAAACCUUGGCAU
This is a non-coding RNA of Vicia faba (fava bean), 927 nucleotides long. The record is from the annotation of a GenBank genome assembly. NCBI's taxonomy places the organism in Eukaryota, Viridiplantae, Streptophyta, Magnoliopsida, Fabales, Fabaceae.